Molecule: ribosomal RNA, 1056 nt
Filed under: Campylobacter coli
Lineage: Bacteria; Pseudomonadati; Campylobacterota; Epsilonproteobacteria; Campylobacterales; Campylobacteraceae
Also listed under: 1 other name
Description: partial 23S ribosomal RNA
Rfam family: Bacterial large subunit ribosomal RNA
Source: RNAcentral
UAAAUACUAAUACCAGAUCGAUAGUGCACAAGUACCGUGAGGGAAAGGUGAAAAGAACUGAGGUGAUCAGAGUGAAAUAGAACCUGAAACCAUUUGCUUACAAUCAUUCAGAGCCCUAUGUAGCAAUACAGGGUGAUGGACUGCCUUUUGCAUAAUGAGCCUGCGAGUUGUGGUGUCUGGCAAGGUUAAGCAAACGCGAAGCCGUAGCGAAAGCGAGUCUGAAUAGGGCGCUUAGUCAGAUGCUGCAGACCCGAAACGAAGUGAUCUAUCCAUGAGCAAGUUGAAGCUAGUGUAAGAACUAGUGGAGGACUGAACCCAUAGGCGUUGAAAAGCCCCGGGAUGACUUGUGGAUAGGGGUGAAAGGCCAAUCAAACUUCGUGAUAGCUGGUUCUCUCCGAAAUAUAUUUAGGUAUAGCGUUGUGUCGUAAUAUAAGGGGGUAGAGCACUGAAUGGGCUAGGGCAUACACCAAUGUACCAAACCCUAUCAAACUCCGAAUACCUUAUAUGUAAUCACAGCAGUCAGGCGGCGAGUGAUAAAAUCCGUCGUCAAGAGGGAAACAACCCAGACUACCAGCUAAGGUCCCUAAAUCUUACUUAAGUGGAAAACGAUGUGAAGUUACUUAAACAACCAGGAGGUUGGCUUAGAAGCAGCCAUCCUUUAAAGAAAGCGUAAUAGCUCACUGGUCUAGUGAUUUUGCGCGGAAAAUAUAACGGGGCUAAAGUAAGUACCGAAGCUGUAGACUUAGUUUACUAAGUGGUAGGAGAGCGUUCUAUUUGCGUCGAAGGUAUACCGGUAAGGAGUGCUGGAGCGAAUAGAAGUGAGCAUGCAGGCAUGAGUAGCGAUAAUUAAUGUGAGAAUCAUUAACGCCGUAAACCCAAGGUUUCCUACGCGAUGCUCGUCAUCGUAGGGUUAGUCGGGUCCUAAGUCGAGUCCGAAAGGGGUAGACGAUGGCAAAUUGGUUAAUAUUCCAAUACCAACAUUAGUGUGCGAUGGAAGGACGCUUAGGGCUAAGGGGGCUAGCGGAUGGAAGUGCUAGUCUAAGGUCGUAGGAGGUU